This 30-nucleotide non-coding RNA is filed under the name Homo sapiens (human). The record is from RNAcentral. Lineage: Eukaryota; Metazoa; Chordata; Mammalia; Primates; Hominidae.
UCCAUCUACGCACCGAGUGUGGGCCCAGGA